RNAcentral lists this unclassified non-coding RNA (153 nucleotides) under uncultured Sordariomycetes. Its description in RNAcentral is "sequence contains ITS2". Lineage: Eukaryota; Fungi; Ascomycota; Sordariomycetes. The record is from RNAcentral. RNAcentral also lists the same sequence under 1 other name.
CAACCCUUAAGCCUAGCUUAGUGUUGGGAAUCUACUGUAUUGUAGUUCCUGAAAACCAACGGCGGAACUAUAGUGUCCUCUGAGCGUAGUAAUUUUUUAUCUCGCUUUUGUAAGGUGCUGUAGCUCUUGCCGCUAAACCCCCCAAUUUUUAAU